RNAcentral lists this ribosomal RNA (275 nucleotides) under uncultured bacterium. RNAcentral's name for it is "partial 16S ribosomal RNA". It matches the Rfam family "Bacterial small subunit ribosomal RNA", at positions 338 to 604 of the family's 1533-position model. The record is from RNAcentral.
CCUACGGGUGGCUGCAGUGGGGAAUAUUGCGCAAUGGGCGAAAGCCUGACGCAGCAACGCCGCGUGAGCGAUGAAGGCCUUCGGGUUGUAAAGCUCUUUCGGUUGGGAAGAAGGGUGCGCGUGCUAAUACCACGUGCAUUUGAUGGUACCAAAAGAAGAAGCACCGGCUAACUUCGUGCCAGCAGCCGCGGUAAUACGAAGGGUGCGAGCGUUGUUCGGAAUUACUGGGCGUAAAGGGUUCGUAGGCGGGAACUUAAGUCAAGUGUGAAAUCCCC